This 1170-nucleotide ribosomal RNA is filed under the name Triticum aestivum (bread wheat). RNAcentral's name for it is "partial small subunit ribosomal RNA". Lineage: Eukaryota; Viridiplantae; Streptophyta; Magnoliopsida; Poales; Poaceae. The record is from RNAcentral.
AUGGCGUUGCGUGAUGGUGUGCUUUUUGCCAAACUUCGAGGUUACACGCAUGCGAUAAUGAAGGUGAACUGCCUGGAGAUGUCCAUCAUCGCCCCCAAAAAAGUAUCCAUCUAUCAGAUCCAGGAGACGAACCGCCCCCCAGCACCUCCCUGCCCCUGUUCUGUUCCCACGCGAGAGACCGCCGCCGACGGGACUAAUCCAUCCCCGCUCACUUUGGUUCUGAUCCCUGCAGUCGGCAGCGGGCAGCACACAUUGAUUCAGUUUGAAACCAACAACCCACAGAUUCAGCUCGGCAGCCUUGGUGGAGGCGACAUGGUCAGCACAAGGUCCAUGAGUCUUCGUAACGAGGGAAACAUGGAAAGGGCGCUGGCCAGUGGCAAGGACCGCAUCAGCGCCCUCCCCGAUGAGCUCCUCCAGCAUGUGAUGUCCUUCUUGCUCUCCCGCGACGCCGUGCGCACAUGCUUGCUCGCUAGGCGCUGGAGCAUGCUCUGGAAGUCCGUGCCUGCCCUACGCAUCGUGGAUGACCUUGCGACUGACUCCUACAAGUUCGUGGAUGAGCUGCUGCGCCUCCGUAACCCGGCGCCAUUGAACGUAUGUGACAUCUGUGAUGCGUACGAGGAUUCGGAUACAGAGGAUCCGUUAGCUUUUUGCGAGGAGGCAUCCGAUCGCAUUGCGCCGUGGCUCCGGUAUGCUUUGUUGCAUCAAGUUCGGGUGCUACGAGUCACUGCUCCUGUCUUCCCAACCGACCUGGUUCUCGUCUCUUCACACCUGAAGAGGAUAGAGCUUUGUCACAUGCAGUUUGAAGAGACUCUGGAUCUUUCGAGUUGCCAGUCAUUACGACACCUUAACAUGAAAGGUGGAUGUUUUGACAAUGAAAUCCGCCUUCAUAUUUCUGCCCCAAAUCUCGUUAGCUUGAAACUAGCUCCAGAGUCAGGCUUGACUCCAUUGCUUGAUAGCAUGCCAUCACUGGUAACAGCAUUCUGUCGAAUCUUCCGAAGAGGAGUUUCAUCACUGUUUUACUCUACCAUCAUGACACGGCUUACUAAGGACCGGCUUAUCAAGGGAUUGAGAUUAAUCUAUGAGCCAUACUUUAGUCAAGUACAGGAAGGGGAGCCUUGGCGCAGUGUUAUCUGUUGUCAGAAUGGAUUUGAAGUGGUCCCCCAUGUUUAG